CCUACGGGAUGCAGCAGUGGGGAAUCUUAGACAAUGGGCGCAAGCCUGAUCUAGCCAAGCCGCGUGAGUGAAGAAGGUCUUAGGAUCGUAAAGCUCUUUCGCCUGUGAUGAUAAUGACAGUAGCAGGUAAAGAAACCCCGGCUAACUCCGUGCCAGCAGCCGCGGUAAUACGGAGGGGGUUAGCGUCGUUCGGAAUUACUGGGCGUAAAGCGCACGUAGGCGGAUUGGAAAGUUGGGGGUGAAAUCCCGGGGCUCAACCCCGGAACGGCCUCCAAAACUAUCAGUCUAGAGUUCGAGAGAGGUGAGUGGAAUUCCAAGUGUAGAGGUGAAAUUCGUAGAUAUUUGGAGGAACACCAGUGGCGAAGGCGGCUCACUGGCUCGAUACUGACGCUGAGGUGCGAAAGUGUGGGGAGCAAACAGGAUUAGAUACCCCUGUAGUC
This 440-nucleotide ribosomal RNA is filed under the name uncultured bacterium. Its description in RNAcentral is "bacterial SSU rRNA". It matches the Rfam family "Bacterial small subunit ribosomal RNA", at positions 338 to 795 of the family's 1533-position model. The record is from RNAcentral.